This is a small nuclear RNA of Triplophysa rosa, 185 nucleotides long. RefSeq annotates it as U2 spliceosomal RNA. The transcript has a single exon. The record is from RefSeq and is a predicted model, not a curated record. Lineage: Eukaryota; Metazoa; Chordata; Actinopteri; Cypriniformes; Nemacheilidae.
UUUACUUCUCUGCCUUUUCUCUGGCCACUAUCAAGGGUAUGUUCAUAUCAGUUUAAUAUCUGUUACGUCCUCUACCCACGGGGAACAUAUAUUAAACAGAUUUUUGGGAAAGAGAAAUGGAGUGCUUGCUGCGUCUACUCCACGUACUGACCUAUUGUACUGUGUUCAGGAAUGGUGGGCUCCCC